GGCACAGUGGCACAGUGGUUACGGAACUGGGCUUGUAACCGGAAGGUCAUAGGUUCGAUUCCUGGUUAGGACA
RNAcentral lists this transfer RNA (73 nucleotides) under Anguilla anguilla (European eel). RNAcentral's name for it is "tRNA-OTHER". Lineage: Eukaryota; Metazoa; Chordata; Actinopteri; Anguilliformes; Anguillidae. The record is from RNAcentral.